AACUUUCUGCAAAGUUCGUCACCAGACGACCAAAUAAUUGAGCCAACACUUGAAGAACGGGAGGCUAAUGCCGCUCAUUCGGUGCAGUCUUUCACAGUUAGAGAUUUGCCAUAGAAUGCGGCUUUGAUGUUCAAAAUAUUUUGAGCAAAAAGCCACCCACCUAUUUAUAAUAGGUUCAAUUCAAGCGUUUGAACGGCUUUUGCGGUUUUCCU
RNAcentral lists this small RNA (212 nucleotides) under Acidobacteriota bacterium. RNAcentral's name for it is "6S RNA". It matches the Rfam family "6S / SsrS RNA". From Rfam's summary of the family: E. coli 6S RNA was the first non coding RNA to be sequenced, but its function was unknown until recently. It consists of 184 nucleotides that fold into an extended hairpin structure with a large single-stranded internal bulge. Lineage: Bacteria; Pseudomonadati; Acidobacteriota. The record is from RNAcentral.